This 250-nucleotide ribosomal RNA is filed under the name uncultured bacterium. Its description in RNAcentral is "partial 16S ribosomal RNA". It matches the Rfam family "Bacterial small subunit ribosomal RNA", at positions 515 to 765 of the family's 1533-position model. The record is from RNAcentral.
CCGCGGUAAUACGGAGGGUGCAAGCGUUAUUCGGAAUUACUGGGCGUAAAGCGCACGUAGGCGGCUUCGUAAGUCAGGGGUGAAAUCCCACGGCUCAACCGUGGAACUGCCUUUGAGACUGCACGGCUAGAGUGUAGCAGAGGGGGGUAGAAUUCCACGUGUAGCAGUGAAAUGCGUAGAGAUGUGGAGGAAUACCGAUGGCGAAGGCAGCCCCUGGGUUACUACUGACGCUCAUGCACGAAAGCGUGGG